Molecule: ribosomal RNA, 250 nt
Filed under: uncultured bacterium
Lineage: Bacteria
Description: partial 16S ribosomal RNA
Rfam family: Bacterial small subunit ribosomal RNA
Source: RNAcentral
GCGAGAAUAUUCGACAAUGGACGAAAGUCUGAUCGAGCGACGCCGCGUGAUGGACGAAGUCCCUCGGGACGUAAACAUCUUUUGUGAGGGAAAAAGUAAUUGAUUGUACCUCAAGAAUAAGGGGCUCCUAACUCUGUGCCAGCAGGAGCGGUAAUACAGAGGCCCCAAGCAUUAUCCGGAAUCACUGGGCGUAAAGGAUGCGUAGGUGGCAGUGUUAGUCUUUCGUUAAAACCUCCGUGCUUAACAUGGA